RNAcentral lists this ribosomal RNA (501 nucleotides) under uncultured bacterium. RNAcentral describes it as "partial 16S ribosomal RNA". It matches the Rfam family "Bacterial small subunit ribosomal RNA", at positions 30 to 523 of the family's 1533-position model. The record is from RNAcentral.
AUUGAACGCUGGCGGCAGGCUUAACACAUGCAAGUCGAGCGGGGGAAGGUAGCUUGCUACCGGACCUAGCGGCGGACGGGUGAGUAAUGCUUAGGAAUCUGCCUAUUAGUGGGGGACAACAUCUCGAAAGGGAUGCUAAUACCGCAUACGUCCUACGGGAGAAAGCAGGGGAUCUUCGGACCUUGCGCUAAUAGAUGAGCCUAAGUCAGAUUAGCUAGUUGGUGGGGUAAAGGCCUACCAAGGCGACGAUCUGUAGCGGGUCUGAGAGGAUGAGCCGCCACACUGGGACUGGGACACGGCCCAGACUCCUACGGGAGGCAGCAGUGGGGAAUAUUGGACAAUGGGGGGAACCCUGAUCCAGCCAUGCCGCGUGUGUGAAGAAGGCCUUAUGGUUGUAAAGCACUUUAAGCGGGGAGGAGGCUACUUUAGUUAAUACCUAGGGAUAGUGGACGUUACUCGCAGAAUAAGCACCGGCUAACUCUGUGCCAGCCGCCGCCGUAA